AGUCGAACGCAGUAGCAAUACUGAGUGGCAGACGGGUGAGUAUAAUGUGGGAAUCUGCCUUUUGGUUCGGAAUAACAAGAGGAAACUUUUGCUAAUACCGGAUAAGCCUUUACAGGGAAAGUUUUAAUGCCAAAAGAUGAGCCCGCACUUGAUUAGCUAGUUGGUAAGGUAAUGGCCUACCAAGACUGUGAUCAAUAGCUGAUUUGAGAGGAUGGUCAGCCACACUGGGACUGAGACACGGCCCAGACUCC
Molecule: ribosomal RNA, 251 nt
Filed under: uncultured bacterium
Lineage: Bacteria
Description: partial 16S ribosomal RNA
Rfam family: Bacterial small subunit ribosomal RNA
Source: RNAcentral